RNAcentral lists this microRNA precursor (76 nucleotides) under Myotis lucifugus (little brown bat). Its description in RNAcentral is "mir-9229 microRNA precursor family". It matches the Rfam family "mir-9229 microRNA precursor family". Lineage: Eukaryota; Metazoa; Chordata; Mammalia; Chiroptera; Vespertilionidae. The record is from Rfam by way of RNAcentral.
GAUACACCCCUAUGGAGCAGGACUUGCUUCAGUGGGACUUUGGUGCUCACCAGGUCUGCCCCUUGAGUGUGUCACU